AAAUGAAUUGACGGGGGCCCGCACAAGCGGUGGAGCAUGUGGUUCAAUUCGACGCAACGCGAAGAACCUUACCGGGGCUCGAACGGCAAUUGCUACUCCUGGAAACAGGGGAUUCUCUUCGGAGACGGUUGUCGAGGUGCUGCAUGGCUGUCGUCAGCUCGUGUCGUGAGAUGUUGGGUUAAGUCCCGCAACGAGCGCAACCCUUGCCCUUAGUUGCGACCAGGUUAAGCUGAGCACCCUAAGGGAACUGUCGGCGAAAAGCCGGAGGAAGGUGGGGAUGACGUCAAGUCCUCAUGGCCCUUACGUCCCGGGCUACACACGUGCUACAAUGGUCGGUACAAAGGGUUGCCAACCCGCGAGGGGGAGCUAAUCCCAAAAACCCGACCCCAGUUCGGAUUGCAGUCUGCAACUCGACUGCAUGAAGGCGGAAUCGCUAGUAAUCGCAGAUCAGCGCGCUGCGGUGAAUACGUUCCCGGGCCUUGUACACACCGCCCGU
RNAcentral lists this ribosomal RNA (496 nucleotides) under uncultured bacterium. RNAcentral describes it as "bacterial SSU rRNA". It matches the Rfam family "Bacterial small subunit ribosomal RNA", at positions 903 to 1397 of the family's 1533-position model. The record is from RNAcentral.